Molecule: long non-coding RNA, 1162 nt
Organism: Photinus pyralis (common eastern firefly)
Lineage: Eukaryota; Metazoa; Arthropoda; Insecta; Coleoptera; Lampyridae
Exons: 3
Source: RefSeq, a predicted model, not a curated record
UGACCCUUGAGCGCGGAAGACGACCAGUCAGACUGAAUGCUGCCAUGCCAACCCCUUAUGCGUAGAAUUACAGACGGACGUUUCUAAUGAAAGGAGCAACAAGACUUGGAUGGAAAAAUAACGGUCGAAGAAAACUUACAUCGGCCCACCGAUUGACUGUCGGACAACGUUGCCAAACUUCUCAGCAUGGCUUGUAAUUAUGGACGGCUGUGGUCCUAUACACUGUGUCCAAGAUAAGGAUUUCAGAAGCCAUAGAAGAUACGUCGGUAGUCAAUUAAAGAAUUAUUAUUAUUCUUUAAAGAAAGCCAGGAAAUCCCAUUGCUUCCGAAGAUAUGCCAGAAAAACCGAAAUUUGCGAUUUCGUCUUUAUUUUUUUUUGUUAUUUGAGAUACAAAAAAUUAAACAUUUUCUCAUUGCCACUUUUAGAACUCUACAAGACAGUGUUGAGAGAGCGUAUUGACUAUUGAGUAGCAUUUUUUAUUACGAAUACAACGAUUUUUGGCACACAAAAAAACAAAAGUUGAAAACUUCUAGAUAAAAUCCGGUUUUACCAAUUUUGCAAUUGUACCUACCAAGCAGCGACGAAGAAACGCCGAAACAACGAUGACAAUGCGCGACGCCGUGCGGCCCAUCCCACACGAAUUCCCGCCGGAAAAGUGACACUUCAACGCUGCCAUUUUAGAUAGUGUAUAUGGUUGGUUGCCUAAGUGUUGCAACAAGCCCAGGAAAAUGCUCUGGUAAAUUGGCCUCCGAGCUAUGUGACAAAUCCACGACAUUCGCCAUCGGAAAAUUUGUUCUUGAAAGACUAAUGCCGGGUAGUUUUCAACACAAAUAAUUUAUAAAGCCAUCUACAAGUUUCUGUAAUUCUUUAAGUAUGGGAUAAUAAAAAUUGAUUUUCACCCCUACCUUUGAUCACCGGCCCCUGGUCAAUAUAAUACAAAGUAUAAAGCUACGUACUGACUACCCUGAGCCUGUCGUUCGCAUUAUUGUGGAUACUCACUUGACACUCAUCGAUCUUUGAAUUAAGGCCACAUCUUUGAACUUGGUACACAAUGUUGAAACGCACUUCCGCGUUCGCACAUGGUUCGUACACACUUUGCGGAUAAAUACAGGCGCGGAAUGAAGAAAGAAUUAAAUCUGAAGAGGAGAAAAAAGAAAGAAAC